This is a long non-coding RNA of Equus caballus (horse), 2301 nucleotides long. The record is from Ensembl. Lineage: Eukaryota; Metazoa; Chordata; Mammalia; Perissodactyla; Equidae.
GUGUGUAUUUGGACAGGCUCUUUCUCUGGUAUUUACUUUAUUUAUAUCCUGAUUUUCAAAUUUCUUUAGUAAGGGAAAGCCACUUUCAUUCAACAUUUCAAACUAAGGAGUAAAAUGGCCAUGUCCCCAGGAGAGGUGGUACAAUGAUUUAAAUUCAUAUUAAGGGACACAUGACUGACAUUAGAUUAUUUUCUGAAGGCUGGUUGGGAUACAAAGAAAAGAACAUUGAGACACCAAGAGUCUAAAAAUAAAGAAAAUCUUGGAAGUUGGGCAGGAGGCAUAACUCAUCCCCGAAGAAACAUGGGCUAGGAGGUCCUAGAGAGGGAGCUGAGCCGGCUUGAUGCUUACCCACCAGGCCUGCAGAGAGGCUGGGAGGCAACUUCUGUCUUAAUGGGGGCUCCGUGGUGAGGGUGGCCUUAUGUCUGCAGAGCACAUCAGGGCCUGCGACUGACCUUUAGACACCAAGUCUGCAGAAAACCUGUGACUAUCCAGGUGUUUCAGACGGAGCAGCAAGCUUUCAUUCUCAGUUGUCGUCUUGCUUACUUUCGAAAGACUACAUGAACACUCUCCGAGAAAGCUCCAGCUUGCUCCUGGGAUCGUCUUACCUAGAGGAUGGCCCUCUGGAUUGGAGACUAGUAAAACGGCUCAAACCUAAUGUCCUUGACUGAUGGGAAACUCACAUGUCCUUGCCAGCUGAUAAAGGCUACACUGCUGUGGCUUCUUCUUACACGUCUACUGAUGUGGACUAAUUCAGCAAGCUCCUCAUCUGCUCAAUCUUCAGGGAUAUAAUUUGGAGAAAAUAACCAUCGUUUUUCCUCCUGCACUUUCUGGUUUCUGCCACGAUUUCCACCCAUCAAGCAGGUGGCUUUCCUCCUCUGGGGGAGGGCACACGCAGCCGAGAAAGAGGAAAUCAACUGAGUUCCCGAUGAGAUAUGUUAAAACUCCUGUGAGCAAGGCAUUUAGAAAGCCAAGGCUUGGAAGAGCCAAGCUUUUUGAGAUCACAAAGGGUUUUUGAGCAACAGAAGGCUAAGCCUCUGGAGACUGCUAGCCAUAGAGCCUUAAGGAUAAAUUUGUGGAUAAAUGCACGCUGAGAUAAGAGUAUUUUCCCACACAAAAGGAGAUGAGGUUUAAAGAGUGAGUGGGAAGAGCAUUAUCCGAGGGGAAGUGACUAGAGUUUGGAAACCGAGGGUGAGUGAGAUGGCAUGUUGUGCCCUGCCCUCAGCCUAGCCGCCCUCUGGAUGGUGUAGACGCAGACCGCAGACGGAUUUGGUGGGGGUCUUGGAACAGAGGACACAAGUUUUCUAUGAGCCUGAGGGAGCACAAGCCUCAAAGAUAAGUCCUUUUGGUGUGCAUGUUCCCAACCAGUCGUCAUCAUGUAGCAAUAGAAAACUACAUCAGAGAUGUUUCUUAGAAACGGCCACAGAGACCCCACCCCAAGUCUCUCACGAUCUUGGACCAGCACAGAAGAGUUUUCAAGAGUUUUCCAAAGUUUUAUGUAUUCCUAAGAAGAGCACAAGAGAGCCGGUUGGGAAUUUGCACUGACCUUACAGGUGGGGUAAACAGGAUGUGAAGUGACCUUAGACACGGCAGAGGGAAGGUGGAGGGGGAUGACCCACCAUUGUGGGUCAAAGUGGGCUAGAGGCUGAUGAGCAAGUAGCAGUAGACCCCAGCACAGGACUGAGAGAAAGUGAGGAAAAGAAGGAGACGCGUCUGCCCGCCAAUGUAUGCCAAUGUAUGCUGAAUCUCCUCCAAGAAAUAAACUAUGUCAUCCCCUAGAGAAAAAAGGAGAAGAAUACGAAAACAAUCUGGAAUUGACUAUUUACCCACAAGAGACAGAGGAAACCUCCUAGGCCUUCUACCUAAAUACACAGUGAACUCCAGAGGAGGGAGGUGAGAAGUCUUUCAAUUAUCCACAAAAUCUUGCUGAAUCCUGGGAAUGUUUUGAAGAAACAGACAAGGACAAUAGUUGCCAAAUUCUAAGGAAGUGCUAAAGAUGGACUAAAGUAAAUACUCUUUGAAGAGGACCUAGAGGGAGAAAUGUGGCCUCUGUUAUGCUUGGAGCAGUACUUACAGUCAUAGACUCUCCAAGUAGGAGGGAACCCAGAGGUCAUCCAGGGCCGUCUAAGACAUGCACACUCUACAGCACCACCAAUAACACAGCACACAGCCAGUGAUGGGGAACACAUCACUUCUCAAGGUGGCCCAUCCAAUUUUCAGACUGUCGUAGUUUAUUCUUGUCUGGAGCUGAACUUUACUCUGAUUACCUCCUACCCACUGGACAAGUUCUGCCCUGUAAAGCAU